UGAUUUCAGUCCUGCAACAAGUCGCAUCCCGUCUCAUUACUCCAGGUAUAUAAAUUCGGCUCUUUUGUCAACCUGCAAUGCAUUUUGGUCCUUUUUUUUUUAACAAAACUUCAAAUAUCUACCUACUUUUACCGUGUCACUUAUCGGCUGGCAAGAGCACUGCAAUUCUAUAGUUCUAGGCUGGAUCGUUGAUCCCCUUUCCCCUUAAUUGUUUGAUUCUGUUUCAUUCUC
RNAcentral lists this unclassified non-coding RNA (231 nucleotides) under Hevea brasiliensis (rubber tree). Lineage: Eukaryota; Viridiplantae; Streptophyta; Magnoliopsida; Malpighiales; Euphorbiaceae. The record is from RNAcentral.